This 874-nucleotide long non-coding RNA is filed under the name Mytilus galloprovincialis (Mediterranean mussel). The record is from RNAcentral. Lineage: Eukaryota; Metazoa; Mollusca; Bivalvia; Mytilida; Mytilidae.
AAUAACAAAUGCUGAAAACUAGUUGUUUUUUUUAUCAAGAUAAAUUCAUUUUAUAUUAAAAAACAAUCAUAGAAAAACUUAACAACAAAUUUGAGGAAUUUAUUUUUCUGUGUAUGUGAAUGAAAUAUAUAGGAUGUUUUUUUCAAUACGAUUUUAUUAACAGGAAAAUUUUUAAUUUGGAAGGAAAGGAACAUCAUUAGUGAAGAAAAGAUACAACAAACCAUAUUGAAGAACAUACGGAAAUAUUUCAAAUGGCAAGCAUACAAAACUAUAAUUCUUCGAACCUAGAUUUAAGUUUAUUAUGUUAAAGUUCAUCAUACUCUUUUAAUUGUGUAUGUACUUUUUAUAUUCAAUGUAAAAUUUCUUUUUUGCUUUGCAAUUACUUAUUAUUUUCGUUCCUAAUGUUUAUAACUUUUUAUGUUGGCCUGCGUAUUACAAACUAUUUAUCAAUUAAAAAAAAAACAUUCCAUUAAUCACACUUAGAAUGUUUGUAGACCCCAACCUCAUGUGUAAAAUAAUUUCUACGCUCUUUCAUUGAAACCACUGUCCAAUGCAUACAUAACUUAUUUAAGGGGUUGACAAUUAACAGUUUGAUAAAUUUUCUAUUGUUGAGGCGGCAUAAACUAGUCCAAGAAUUACCGUUUCAUGUACAUAAAAAUUCCGGGAAAUGGAGUUAUUUGCUGGUUACAACUAUGUACCCUAUAAGAGGGUUUGAUGAGGACUGCAUUGCAUGUUGUUUACAAAACACGAUCGUAUAACUGCGCUCUAUUAGUUUUUUUUUUUAACCUUUUCCGCUGUGAAUGUUUGUUUUACAACAGUGACACAUAUAACAACUUCAAUACAGAGUUAAAAGUGGAUUAAGUUGUUAAUUUAU